RNAcentral lists this long non-coding RNA (494 nucleotides) under Mytilus galloprovincialis (Mediterranean mussel). Lineage: Eukaryota; Metazoa; Mollusca; Bivalvia; Mytilida; Mytilidae. The record is from RNAcentral.
AUAUAUAUGAAUUAACGGUAUGGUUGCAAUUCUCAUAUAAGCAAUAGACAUUUUCUAUCCGUAAGUAUUGAACAAGACUUUUAUCAAAUCUUUUCUAAAUAAUGCAUGCAUUUUUAUGGUAAAUACUGUUAGUUUUACUUUAUUAUUAGUUGAACAGGUUUUUGAAGGCUUACCAUAGCGAUAUAUGUUUAUUCGUAACUGUGCAAAGGUUAGAGAAUGUCAAAAAAUAUGUUCGCCUUUUUGUUUUGAUCAUUCAUGUUUUUAACGGUAUUGUAAACUUUUUUUUUUAACUUUUUUACUUGUUUUUACCCAGAUACAUAUAAAAGAACCUUAAUCUUAAUUAUAAUUAUUUAGAAAAAGAUGAUUUUCGCAUUACUUGUGAUAUUUGGCUGUUUAUUGGUGGUUAAAUCUGAAACAUGCUUUGGAAACCAAGAAAGGACGAUCUUAUCUGAUAUAAAAUCCUCCAUUAAGACAUUGGAAGAAAAGUUGGAAGG